Molecule: ribosomal RNA, 465 nt
Filed under: uncultured bacterium
Lineage: Bacteria
Description: partial 16S ribosomal RNA
Rfam family: Bacterial small subunit ribosomal RNA
Source: RNAcentral
GAUGAACGCUGGCGGCGUGCUUAACACAUGCAAGUCGAACGAUGAAGCCCAGCUUGCUGGGUGGAUAGUGGCGAACGGGUGAGUAACACGUGAGUAACCUGCCCUUAACCCUGGGAUAAGCCUGGUAAACUGGGUCUAAUACCGGAUAGGAGCGUCCACCGCAUGGUGGGUGUUGGAAAGAUUUAUCGGUUUUGGAUGGACUCGCGGCCUAUCAGCUUGUUGGUGAGGUAAUGGCUCACCAAGGCGACGACGGGUAGCCGGCCUGAGAGGGUGACCGGCCACACUGGGACUGAGACACGGCCCAGACUCCUACGGGAGGCAGCAGUGGGGAAUAUUGCACAAUGGGCGCAAGCCUGAUGCAGCGACGCCGCGUGAGGGAUGACGGCCUUCGGGUUGUAAACCUCUUUCAGUAGGGAAGAAGCGAAAGUGACGGUACCUGCAGAAGAAGCACCGGCUAACUACGUG